UCGGGAAUUUUGGGCAAUGGGCGAAAGCCUGACCCAGCAACGCCGCGUGAGGGAUGAAGGCCUUCGGGUCGUAAACCUCUGUCAGAAGGGAAGAAAGGUCUCUGGGCGAAUAGGCCAGGGGCUUGACGGUACCUUCAAAGGAAGCACCGGCUAACUCCGUGCCAGCAGCCGCGGUAAUACGGAGGGUGCGAGCGUUGUUCGGAAUCACUGGGCGUAAAGCGCGUGUAGGCGGCCGUGUUAGUCGGGUGUGAAAUCCCGGGGCUCAACCCCGGAACUGCACCCGAAACUGCAUGGCUCGAGUCCCGGAGGGGGUGGCGGAAUUUCCGGUGUAGAGGUGAAAUUCGUAGAUAUCGGAAGGAACACCAGUGGCGAAGGCGGCCACCUGGACGGUGACUGACGCUGAGACGCGAAAGCGUGGGGAGCAAACAGGAUUAGAUACCCCCGUAGUCC
Molecule: ribosomal RNA, 450 nt
Filed under: uncultured prokaryote
Description: bacterial SSU rRNA
Rfam family: Bacterial small subunit ribosomal RNA
Source: RNAcentral